GUUGAGCGCUACCAGGUGUGCUUGUCACAUGCUGGUCCGACGCAGGGAUGCCAGCUUGUUCUAGCCUGUAAUGUCUUACGGCGGAGCUACACACUUCAACACCUGCGGCGUGGUUUGGGAUAACAAAUGGAAACGUUUGCUAAUACCAAAUAACGUCGGAGAGUCACAUGACUUUCUGACGAAAGGAAUUCCGAUUCGAGAGGGUCUCGCGGCCUAUCAGCUUGUUGGCGGGGUAAUGGCCCACCAAGGCAACGACGGGUAGCUGGUCUGAGAGGAUGGUCAGCCACACUGGGACUGAGACACGGCCCAGACUCCUACGGGAGGCAGCAGUGGGGAAUCUUGCGCAAUGGGCGAAAGCCUGACGCAGCAACGCCGCGUGCGGGAAGAAGGCUUUCGGGCUGUAAACCGCUU
Molecule: ribosomal RNA, 411 nt
Filed under: uncultured Actinomycetes bacterium
Lineage: Bacteria; Bacillati; Actinomycetota; Actinomycetes
Description: bacterial SSU rRNA
Rfam family: Bacterial small subunit ribosomal RNA
Source: RNAcentral